RNAcentral lists this long non-coding RNA (212 nucleotides) under Mytilus galloprovincialis (Mediterranean mussel). Lineage: Eukaryota; Metazoa; Mollusca; Bivalvia; Mytilida; Mytilidae. The record is from RNAcentral.
ACAUGAUCCACAUUUAAAGCAAUUUAGUGGUUCAUUUUCAUAAAAAAUACUAGCUUUUACUACACUCAGAAAUCAUUUUUGUCAGCUAGGUGUAAUUUGUUUAAACUUUAUCUGAAAGUCAGAAGUGUUAGUAAUUGACCCAAAGUGAUGGCUAAGAAUCUAAGUCAUUUAUCAGUUAUUCAAAAGAGCAUAAAACUUUUGUUCAUUUGAAU